GAUGGCUCGGUCCGGCACCUGGCUGGGCGCCCUUGUCCCACCGCGACUAAGAAUGAUACCCAGGCUGCUGGGGCGGAGAGGCGAAAGGUCAGCAAGUCGGAGGGAGUCUGACCAGUGCCCACAGCAUGAUCUUUGGGAACGGACGAGGCCUGCCCGCGACCCCCUAUGUUUAAGCCCCCAGCCUGGGACCGGCUAAGUGCCUGAGCUCUUCGCCCGCGAGGAGAGCCGGCGGCGAAGUUGGCCCGAGGAGCCCCGCGCCCUCCCUCUCUCCUCCUCCAGACGCGCUAGGGGGUGGCGGGUGGAAGGGGUUUCCCUAGUCUGCCCUGGGAUUGCCCAAGUGCGCACGUUCCCAUCCUCGCCUUUUCAUUCGGCCGUAGUUUCACCAGCUGCCUUCCUCGUGAGCUGCCAGCUUGGCGAACCCGUUGGUAACACAAGGAAGCUCUUUCUGGAUCCUUGACUGGUCUCCAGGUACACCCUAAGGGUGGUUAUUGCGAUGAAGCUGUGAUAUACGCACUGAAAGAAUGUGAUGCUCAUCAUAUUGGUAUGGCCAAAACACAUGGGUAUGAAGGUCUCUUGGGAGAAGCCAUCCAGGACAGUGCCAUGAAAUGUCCAGACUUUUCCCCGGACUCCCUCCCGGCUAGCCGUGGUGCACUAACGCCCUGCAGGCUGUGUUCACGCCGCCAACCACAGUCCUCUCCCGGUGCUCCGACUGAAGCCCGAGCCUCAGCUCCCAGCCCCGCCCGCCCCGGCGGGGGAGCAGACAAGCCUCUUGGCUGUCACAGCAACCACUGAAAAUCCAGUUUUGCAAUGAUAUGGCAUGGUCUAAAGACGACAGGACGUCCUUUUCACAUCCACAUGUGCACAACCGAGAGAAGUGCAUGAGCAUCAGAGAAGAAUUUAUUGUGUAUUAAAUAAAGGUACUGUUUCUCUCUCCCUCUGAGAAGGAGGAGAUAUUGGAAGGAAGAGUAGAAAAAAUAUAUCUGACUUAAAACACUCUCUUGUUUCAAGAAAACAGUAGUAUUAAUUGCUACCUAUACUCUUGACCUAGCUAAUGGGUAAUGAUGUAUCAUUUCCAGUCUCAAAUGUAAAAUAGAUAACUAGUGGGAAGCAGCUGCAUAGCACAGGGAGAUCAGCUCAGUGCUUUGUGACUGCC
Molecule: long non-coding RNA, 1153 nt
Organism: Globicephala melas (long-finned pilot whale)
Lineage: Eukaryota; Metazoa; Chordata; Mammalia; Artiodactyla; Delphinidae
Source: RefSeq, a predicted model, not a curated record